UAAAAAAUACUGCAUCAGAAAAGUACACAGUUCUCGAGGAGUUUUGUAGUUCCUGAUAAGUUUUAACAAUAGUGGUGCUACGUAACGUCGUUAAAAUACGAAUUUUCGAAAAAUUGAGGUGCUAUAUGGGUGUCAGCUUUCCAGCACCGCAAUUUUGACAUUUAGUUUACAGAAAUUUCCUAAUGGUGUUGGAGUUUGCUAUGUUUUGGGAUGCUCUUCCGGGGUUAAUAUGCCCAGUCCUAAGUGUCCGAAAAAUCCUGAACAGAAAGGGACCAGAAAAAAAGGGUCACCAAAAAUUGACGAUGAUUUAUUAAAAAAUGCUGCAUCAGAAAAGCACAUAGGUAUAACAGAAAUAUUCUUUAUAAUCUCAUUCGAUUCAUUUGCUCUCUUUAUUCGAUGCUUUGAGCUAUACGAACCAUUCCUUUGUCACGCAUUUUGUUUAUGAAACUUGGCGUGAUUCCAUGAGUUCUUUUUUCCUUAAUGUUCGCACAAUUAUUUUCAUUGCAAUUAGAAGAC
Long non-coding RNA from Cephus cinctus (wheat stem sawfly), 516 nucleotides. RefSeq lists it as uncharacterized. Lineage: Eukaryota; Metazoa; Arthropoda; Insecta; Hymenoptera; Cephidae. The transcript has 3 exons. The record is from RefSeq and is a predicted model, not a curated record.